CGACGUGUCUUGGGCUCUUCUGGCGCCAAAAUGUCGCUCGUAGCGGGGGUUAUUCGGCGGCUGGACGAAACAGUGGUGAACCGCAUCGCGGCAGGGGAAGUCAUCCAGCGGCCGGCCAACGCCAUCAAGGAGAUGAUUGAGAACUGCUUAGAUGCAAAAGCCACCAGCAUCCAAGUGGUUGUUAAAGAGGGAGGCCUCAAGUUGAUUCAGAUCCAAGACAAUGGCACUGGGAUCCGGAAAGAAGAUCUGGAUAUUGUGUGUGAGAGGUUCACUACAAGUAAACUGCAGUCCUUUGAGGAUUUAGCUAGUAUUUCUACCUAUGGCUUUCGGGGUGAGGCUUUGGCCAGCAUCAGCCACGUGGCUCACGUUACUAUUACAACCAAAACAGCUGAUGCAAAGUGCGCAUACAGAGCAAGUUACUCAGAUGGAAAGCUGACAGCUCCUCCUAAACCAUGUGCGGGCAAUCAAGGGACCCAGAUUACGGUGGAAGAUCUCUUUUACAACAUAUCCACAAGGAGGAAAGCUUUAAAAAAUCCGAGUGAAGAGUAUGGGAAAAUUUUGGAAGUUGUUGGCAGGUAUUCAAUACACAAUUCAGGCAUUGGUUUCUCAGUUAAAAAACAAGGCGAGACAGUGGCUGACGUUAGAACACUGCCCAGUGCCACGACUGUAGACAAUAUUCGCUCCAUCUUUGGAAAUGCUGUUAGCCGAGAACUGAUAGAAGUCGGGUGUGAGGAUAAAACCCUAGCCUUCAAAAUGAAUGGCUUUAUAUCCAAUGCAAAUUACUCCGUGAAGAAGUGUAUCUUCUUACUCUUCAUCAACCAUCGUCUGGUAGAGUCAACUUCCUUAAGAAAAGCCAUUGAAACCGUGUAUGCAGCCUAUUUGCCCAAAAACACACACCCGUUCCUGUACCUCAGUUUGGAGAUCAGCCCCCAGAACGUGGAUGUCAACGUGCACCCCACAAAGCACGAGGUUCACUUCCUACACGAGGACAGCAUCCUGGAGCGGGUGCAACAGCACAUUGAGAGCAAGCUCCUGGGCUCCAACUCGUCCAGGAUGUACUUCACCCAGACUUUACUCCCAGGUCUUGCUGGCCCCUCUGGGGAGGUGGUUAAGUCCACAGUGGGUGUGCCCCCCUCAUCCACUUCUGGAAGCGGCGACAAGGUCUAUGCUCACCAGAUGGUCCGCACAGAUUCGCGGGAACAGAAGCUCGAUGCCUUUAUGCAGCCUGUGAGCAAGGCUCUGUCCGGUCAGCCUCAGGCCGUGGUCCCAGAAGAUGGGCCUGAGGCUUCCAGCGGCAGGGCCAGGCAGCAGGAUGAGGAAAUGCUCGAACUCCUGGAGCCUGCUGCAGUGGCUGCCACAAAUCAGGGCUUGGAGGGGGAUGCAACAGAGGGGACUUCGCAAGCGUCGGAGAAGAGAGGGCCCCCUUCCAGCCCAGGUAACCCCAGAAAGAGGCCCCGGGAAAGCCCUGAUGUGGAAAUGGUGGAAGAGGAUUCCCGGAAGGAGAUGACAGCAGCUUGUACUCCCCGGAGAAGGAUCAUCAACCUCACCAGUGUCCUGAGCCUCCAGGAAGAAAUUAAUGAGCGGGGACAUGAGACUCUCCGAGAGAUGUUGCACAACCACUCCUUCGUGGGCUGCGUGAAUCCUCAGUGGGCCUUGGCACAGCAUCAGACCAAGCUGUACCUUCUCAACACCACCAAACUUAGUGAAGAACUGUUCUACCAGAUACUCAUUUAUGAUUUUGCCAAUUUUGGUGUUCUGAGGCUGUCGGAGCCAGCGCCGCUCUUUGACCUGGCCAUGCUCGCCUUAGACAGUCCCGAGAGUGGCUGGACAGAGGAGGAUGGCCCCAAAGAAGGACUUGCUGAGUACAUUGUUGAGUUUCUAAAGAAGAAGGCUGAGAUGCUUGCGGACUAUUUCUCCUUGGAGAUCGAUGAGGAAGGGAACCUGAUUGGAUUACCCCUGCUGAUCGACAACUACGUGCCCCCUUUGGAGGGCCUGCCUCUCUUCAUUCUUCGACUAGCCACCGAGGUGAACUGGGAUGAAGAAAAGGAAUGUUUUGAAAGCCUCAGCAAAGAGUGUGCUAUGUUUUACUCCAUUCGGAAGCAGUAUGUAUGUGAGGAGUCGACCCUCUCAAGCCAGCAGAGUGACGCGCCCGGCUCCUCAGCAAACCCCUGGAAGUGGACUGUGGAACACAUCGUCUAUAAAGCCUUCCGCUCACACCUUCUGCCUCCUGAACGUUUCACGGAAGAUGGAAAUAUCCUACAGCUUGCCAACCUGCCCGAUCUAUACAAAGUCUUCGAGAGAUGUUAAGCACCGUCACUCUUGGACUCGGGGGUGUGCGGUUCCUGCACGGUGUCCUGAUGAGGGAUGACGUAAAAAUACAAACCCGAGCCGUAUGUGCCACUACCGUCAGAUGCCUUUAAUACUAGCCUGGUUCACAGAAAUGUGCAGUGUGCACGGGAAGAACGCCUACAGUUUUGAGGUAAAAUCCAGAUGACAAGACUCAGUAAAGAACGUUCCAUGGAAAGAACAGGGAACCGUCCCUUAAGAAAAAGUGGAACCAUUCCCUUUGGAAGAGACAAAUCUGUUGUAUCACAAAAGAAGCAGGAUCAGGUUCUACCACGUAGAACUUCCAAAAAGUUGACAGGGCGUCUCAGCAGCGGCCCUCCGGGAGCCCAGCGGGGCGAGGAGGGGUCACCUCACGGUGUGCUGGCUCCAGCUGUGGGCCCCCACCCCUCCUACCCCGGGUCCCACUACUACGGCUGCGAAAGAAAUAUGUAGGAAAUCCCCCCGGACUCACGACACCGGUUCCAUAUUUUAAAAACAAAAGGCUAACUGCUCUGAAGAGGGUAAUUCGCAGAGAUUUUCUUCACAUCCGAGUUAGCUUCAGGAUGUAAUUCCAAGUCUAACUUUGUUAUCUUACGUGCCCUGGACUGACUGAUUAGACUUCUCGCGGUAUUUGUUACGAACAUGCAACCACCAUCUCCACAAACACCUUGAUUCUGAGGGCAGACGAGAAUCACGGAUCCUGCAAAAUGGCCCCAUGAUAAAUGCCUCAAACUGGGUACGUUUAAAGACGCGACUGAAGUUCUUAAAAAGCUGUAUAUUCCAGAUUAUUUUCCGUGAGGAGGAGGAGGAGAAGAGGGGCAGCGUAAGAGGGACGUGGCUGCCCCGAUGUGUUGAAAGGCUCCCGUAACAAAAUGAAUGUGUCAGGAGCCAGCUGUGGUCAGCAAGAGGGUGUGUUUAAUAGGGUCUUGGGCCGACUUCUCCCCCCACCGCACCCCCCCGCCGGGCUCGUCUGAGGUUUCAUUCCACAAAUCAGCAGCAGAUGAGAUACUUUACACGAGAUACAGCACAGGCGAUGUUGACGACAAAGGGCCCUACUCUUACCUUAAGAGCGUCAGGCUUUGGACUUCCCCGGCCACAUGCAAUAAAGCAAGUUUUCUAUACACUCCCCGUAUCCGUAUUUUUUCUAACAUUUUCUUAUAUAAAUUUAAAUAUUUUACAAAAAAAGGCUUCUUCCUCCAAACAUAGAAAUUUGAGUGAAACAUACAUUCCCCACGUGUGAACCUGUUUCUUCACUAAAAUAUAAAUGCUAUCUGAUACGAAGGGUAAGUGUCUUUGACCGCUGGAGAGGACUGAAGUCUGGAUUGCACCGUGGAGAAGGCACUUGUGUUUCCCGAGGUCUCCAGCCAAGUAUCUCACGGGGCGCUCACAGAACCGCCGUCCUCUCGCCGUGACGAGAGCCCCGUCACGGAGGCCGCUGGGGGAAAUGGUGAGUAAACUCGAUUCUACAAUUAUGGAAAUAAAAAGUAAAACCAGCACAGACCAGUUCUUAGUCUAGAAUCAAAUUACAACGAAAUCCAAAGCGUGCGUUCAUGAAGAUUCAAACCUGUUUCAUUCUCUCAUAAAUUAUAAAAUACAAAGGUGGCUAUUUUACUGACAAGACUCAAACAGUACAGAAGGGGGUUUGUGUCAAUGGACAGAAAGUCCCUCUGGGCGGGACCCCGGGCGCGGCUCCCGGGCGGAGGGGCGCCUCCUACUGCUGGGCCAGAAGUGCUGUCCUGUUGGCCUUCAUCUUUUCCAGCCGCUUGGCCAGGUGGCUGUUGGUCAUCUCCACCUCCUCGAUCUUGUCCAGUGCCGUUCGUAACUGCGGACAGGGAGAGCCCGGUCACUUGACACGGUCACACACAAAACCCGGUGCCACUUCAAUGCCCCUGUCUGCGAGACGGGACCCGCUGGCGGCGCACAGAAAGGACAGACAUACAGCAGGUGGAGGAAAAGACCGGUGCUAAAACAAAAGGGAAACCUCUCCUCUUCCUUAGUCUCGAACUGACCGAAACAUACAAGUAAAUAAAUGGCAGUCACCGUGCAGGUCAAAACCCACCACGGAACAGGGAGAGACCCACCGCUGUUCCCUUAGGACUGGACCCAGGAUUCAACUCGUGACGCCGCGAAGGAUCUUUACGUUUUAGGAACGUGAGCGCGCAAAAGCAGGUACCUCUCGCUGUAGCUUCCUCUUCUCCGCCUUCAGUUCAUCUUCCACUUUCUCCGCAUUCUCGGCGGCGGUCUUAUACCUCAGCACCUGGCCCUCGAGUCGGCUGACCUGUCAACAAGAGAACACGGGCCUCUGCUGACGGGCACCGGGAGCCCUUUGCUUGCAGCCACCAUGGAAACGCAGCGUCAUUACAAAUCCCAAGUUGUCCCCUCACGGUGAGUCACAGGGCCUCUCAGAACCCAGCGGCUAUUUAUAGACGAGGAAGUGUCCCCUGAGAGGAUUACAGCCGGACAGUCAACAUAGGGCCAAUUUCUCACGUCAGGUUUACGAUGGACAUAUUAAGUGCCAAAGUAACACUGCAGGAUCAGACACACUAAUGGAAAAGCUUUUAGACUUCUUGAAACGUAGAAUAAGGGAUUUUCAAACUAAGAGACUUCCUGAGGUCCCCUGAAAUAUCUGGAAAAAGCAGAAUUACAGCUACGGUUUUCUACGUUUUCAAUAGCGAACGGAAGGCUGAAGUGCCCUUCGGGGUCUCUCCUGCUGGCUUUCUUCUUUACUGCAGAGCUUCGACAGAGAUCCAACUGCAGAGACACCCAACCCAAAGAAACCUAGGUACUCCUGGAGUCGGCCACUUAGAUGUUGCAAAGGGACUUUAAAUCUCUUGCCACCAUACUGAGAAGAACAGAAGAAGAGAAUGAAUCCUCUCCCGGAGGGAGUGAAGGUGUGACCCAUGAGGCGCUGACACCCGCUGCAGCCCGGGAGAGGACGAUGCGGUCUCCAAGACAGACACGGAUGCCCGCAGGGCAGCCACAGCAUCUCCAGCGCCUUGGGCCCUAGAACGAGUCUCCUGCGAGAAGCUCCGGCACCGAUCCAAGCCUCCCUUGGACCGGGGAGAAGAAAAUGUACCCUUCGCCCCACGAUGUGCGUAGGCUGAACACGGAGCAAGGAGCCCUGUCCGUGCCUCAGUGGCCCUGCUGACCCCCGUCCAGGAGCCUCCAGUUUCCUGUACCUUCCCGCCUCCCGGGUUCCCUCCUGCUGCCACACCUCGGGUGCCCCGCUCUCCCACCGCUGACUGAAGUCCCCAGCAACCUCCGUCAUGACUCUCCUUAGUCAACUGUGACUUCUUCCCUGUCGCUUUGAUUUACACUGUCUUUUCUAACACUAACCAUGCCUCUGAACGCGGGCCCUGGCUCCGCCUCCCUCGGUCUAUCUGCGUCUUGCCGAGGGCUCUGUGCGUGUGCUUAAUAAACAUUUGCUGAAAGAAAUGCUUUUCAAUAACAUGUGG
Molecule: RNA transcript, 5780 nt
Organism: Herpailurus yagouaroundi (jaguarundi)
Lineage: Eukaryota; Metazoa; Chordata; Mammalia; Carnivora; Felidae
Gene: MLH1
Gene name: mutL homolog 1
Exons: 21
Source: RefSeq, a predicted model, not a curated record